RNAcentral lists this ribosomal RNA (676 nucleotides) under uncultured bacterium. Its description in RNAcentral is "bacterial SSU rRNA". It matches the Rfam family "Bacterial small subunit ribosomal RNA", at positions 54 to 749 of the family's 1533-position model. The record is from RNAcentral.
CAUGCAAGUCGAGCGGACGUCUCGGGCUUGCUCGAGUCGUUAGUGGCGGACGGCUGAGUAACGCGUAGGUGACCUGCCCCGAAGUGGGGAAUAACUGCCCGAAAGGGUGGCUAAUACCGCAUGUGGCCAUACGUUCGAUCGUAUGACCAAAGCCGCAAGGCGCUUCGGGAGGGGCCUGCGUCCGAUUAGCUCGUUGGUGGGGUAACGGCUCACCAAGGCGACGAUCGGUAGGUGGUCUGAGAGGACGAUCACCCAGACUGGGACUGAGACACGGCCCAGACUCCUACGGGAGGCAGCAGUCGGGAAUUUUGCUCAAUGGGCGCAAGCCUGAAGCAGCAACGCCGCGUGAGGGAUGAAGGCCUUCGGGUUGUAAACCUCUUUUCUCAGGGACGAUGAUGACGGUACCUGAGGAAUAAGCCACGGCUAACUACGUGCCAGCAGCCGCGGUAAUACGUAGGUGGCAAGCGUUGUCCGGAUUUAUUGGGUUUAAAGGGUGCGUAGGCGGCCCUGUAAGUCAGUGGUGAAAUAUUUCAGCUCAACUGGAAUUGUGCCAUUGAUACCGCGGGGCUUGAGUACAGAUGAGGUAGGCGGAAUUGACGGUGUAGCGGUGAAAUGCUUAGAUAUCGUCAAGAACACCUAUAGCGAAGGCAGCUUACUAGGCUGUAACUGACGCUGA